AACGAACGCUGGCGGCAUGCCUAACACAUGCAAGUCGAACGAGACCUUCGUGUCUAGUGGCGCACGGGUGCGUAACGCGUGGGAACCUGCCCUUAGGUUCGGAAUAACUCCCCGAAAGGGGUGCUAAUACCGGAUAAUGUCUUCGGACCAAAGAUUUAUCGCCUUUGGAUGGGCCCGCGUUGGAUUAGCUAGUUGGUAGGGUAAAAGCCUACCAAGGCGACAAUCCAUAGCUGGUCUGAGAGGAUGAUCAGCCACACUGGGACUGAGACACGGCCCAGACUCCUACGGGAGGCAGCAGUGGGGAAUAUUGGACAAUGGGCGAAAGCCUGAUCCAGCAAUGCCGCGUGAGUGAUGAAGGCCUUAGGGUUGUAAAGCUCUUUUACCCGGGAUGAUAAUGACAGUACCGGGAGAAUAAGCUCCGGCUAACUCCGUG
Molecule: ribosomal RNA, 433 nt
Filed under: uncultured bacterium
Lineage: Bacteria
Description: partial 16S ribosomal RNA
Rfam family: Bacterial small subunit ribosomal RNA
Source: RNAcentral